RNAcentral lists this unclassified non-coding RNA (238 nucleotides) under Hevea brasiliensis (rubber tree). The record is from RNAcentral. Lineage: Eukaryota; Viridiplantae; Streptophyta; Magnoliopsida; Malpighiales; Euphorbiaceae.
CAGAAUCUUCAUCACCGCUCCAUUUCCUCUUCAUGGUUCUAGGAACCAAUCGAGUUACUUCUUUAGAUUAUUACUAGUUCUAAUUAUGGAACUCUGGCUAACGAUUGGUGCUCGGACGGUGUGCCAUGGACGCUUCAAGCAUCCAAUGCUAUUUGUGUUCUUGCUAUCCAAGAGAGGGGCUGGUAACCUGAUUCAGGACCCAAUUGUUAAGACAGCUUGCUGAGGCUUUACAUGCAAA